Non-coding RNA from Meleagris gallopavo (turkey), 532 nucleotides. NCBI's taxonomy places the organism in Eukaryota, Metazoa, Chordata, Aves, Galliformes, Phasianidae. The record is from RefSeq and is a predicted model, not a curated record.
CGGCUGGGAGACGGCGCUCGUCGCGGCGGGACGGGCUCGGGAGCGCUGCAGCGUUGUUCUGCAAGUGCCGGAGUUACGCCGCCUGAUGUUUGAGAAACAGCGUUGUGGGACAUAAAUCACACAGCCACAGGCAAGCGUCAGAAUGAAAGGACUCAAAUGAACAGAAAGUGCCAGGGCAAUAAUUGCAAGGAGCUGAAAUGUACAAGCAGUGACUGCAGAUACUCAACUGCUGGUUCUAUGAGAAUGAAGUUCAGUGUAAAGCAGUCACAUGCUGUCACUGUUUGGCAUACGUAACUACACAUUGCUGGAAUGGGUGUACUUCUCUGUGCCUGCAGAGAGUAGCAUAUCUCACAUGAAAGUAGUCACAGACUGGGAGCGGUUCGCUAUCUUUUUUUUUUGAGGUGUUGCUAGAAGAGAGAAGCAAAAUGGUCUAGGUAAACCUAUUGACUUAUUUUCCUCAAGUCAAUAAAUAUUUCCUAUUCAGCGAAAUCGAAUGCCGCUGAGAAAGAAAAUAAACAUUUGGCUUUUGUCU